This 443-nucleotide ribosomal RNA is filed under the name uncultured Clostridium sp. RNAcentral's name for it is "partial 16S ribosomal RNA". It matches the Rfam family "Bacterial small subunit ribosomal RNA", at positions 341 to 792 of the family's 1533-position model. The record is from RNAcentral. Lineage: Bacteria; Bacillati; Bacillota; Clostridia; Eubacteriales; Clostridiaceae.
ACGGAAGGCAGCAGUGGGGGAUAUUGGACAAUGGGGGAAACCCUGAUCCAGCGACGCCGCGUGAGUGAAGAAGUAUUUCGGUAUGUAAAGCUCUAUCAGCAGGGAAGAAAAAAUCAAAAUUGACUGUACCUGACUAAGAAGCUCCGGCUAACUACGUGCCAGCAGCCGCGGUAAUACGUAGGGAGCAAGCGUUAUCCGGAAUUACUGGGUGUAAAGGGAGUGUAGGCGGGACUGUAAGUCAGAUGUGAAAUAUGCCGGCUCAACUGGCAGACUGCAUUUGAAACUGCGGUUCUUGAGUGAAGUAGAGGUAAGCGGAAUUCCUAGUGUAGCGGUGAAAUGCGUAGAUAUUAGGAGGAACAUCAGUGGCGAAGGCGGCUUACUGGGCUUUAACUGACGCUGAGGCUCGAAAGCGUGGGGAGCAAACAGGAUUAGAUACCCUGGUA